GAUCUGGUGGUGUAGUGUUUACACGUGCGCUAGAUGUGUGUGACGCAGAGGCUCCUCGUUCGAAUCGAGGCUAGGUCA
Non-coding RNA from Mycena vitilis, 78 nucleotides. NCBI's taxonomy places the organism in Eukaryota, Fungi, Basidiomycota, Agaricomycetes, Agaricales, Mycenaceae. The record is from the annotation of a GenBank genome assembly.